This 72-nucleotide transfer RNA is filed under the name Chlamydiota bacterium. Its description in RNAcentral is "Chlamydiae bacterium tRNA-Val". It matches the Rfam family "tRNA". Rfam says of the family: Transfer RNA (tRNA) molecules are approximately 80 nucleotides in length. Their secondary structure includes four short double-helical elements and three loops (D, anti-codon, and T loops). Lineage: Bacteria; Pseudomonadati; Chlamydiota. RNAcentral also lists the same sequence under 1 other name. The record is from RNAcentral.
GGGCGCAUAGCUCAGUGGUAGAGCGUCUGUUUUACACACAGUUGGUCAUAGGUUCAAAUCCUGUUGCGCCCA